This 248-nucleotide unclassified non-coding RNA is filed under the name uncultured Sordariales. Its description in RNAcentral is "sequence contains 5.8S rRNA gene, ITS2, 28S rRNA gene". The stretch from base 1 to 52 matches the Rfam family "5.8S ribosomal RNA", at positions 103 to 154 of the family's 154-position model. Lineage: Eukaryota; Fungi; Ascomycota; Sordariomycetes; Sordariales. The record is from RNAcentral.
AACGCACAUUGCGCCCGCCAGUAUUCUGGCGGGCAUGCCUGUUCGAGCGUCAUUUCAACCAUCAAGCCCCAGGCUUGUGUUGGGGACCUGCGGCUGCCGCAGGCCCUGAAAAACAGUGGCGGGCUCGCUAGUCACACCGAGCGUAGUAGCAUACACAUCGCUUAGGACGUGCUGCGGGUUCCGGCCGUUAAACCCCCCACUAUAUCAAGGUUGACCUCGGAUCAGGUAGGAAGACCCGCUGAACUUAA